Molecule: ribosomal RNA, 253 nt
Filed under: uncultured bacterium
Lineage: Bacteria
Description: partial 16S ribosomal RNA
Rfam family: Bacterial small subunit ribosomal RNA
Source: RNAcentral
UACGUAGGGUGCGAGCGUUGUCCGGAAUUAUUGGGCGUAAAGAGCUUGUAGGCGGCCUGUUGCGUCCGCUGUGAAAUCCCGGGGCUCAACCCCGGGCCUGCAGUGGAUACGGGCUGGCUAGAGGCAGGCAGGGGAGAACGGAAUUCCUGGUGUAGCGGUGAAAUGCGCAGAUAUCAGGAGGAACACCGGUGGCGAAGGCGGUUCUCUGGGCCUGUACUGACGCUGAGGAGCGAAAGCGUGGGGAGCGAACAGG